This 428-nucleotide ribosomal RNA is filed under the name unidentified planctomycete. RNAcentral's name for it is "bacterial SSU rRNA". It matches the Rfam family "Bacterial small subunit ribosomal RNA", at positions 1075 to 1502 of the family's 1533-position model. The record is from RNAcentral. Lineage: Bacteria; Pseudomonadati; Planctomycetota; Planctomycetia; Planctomycetales.
UCGGGUUAGUCCUUGNCNGAGCGCACCCCUGUCCCUAGUUGCCAGCGAGUCAAGUCGGGGACUCUAGGGAGACUGCCGGUGUUAAACCGGAGGAAGGCGGGGAUGACGUCAAGUCCUCAUGGCCUUUAUGACUAGGGCUGCACACGUCCUACAAUGGCGCGUACAAAGGGAAGCAAAAUCGUGAGGUCGAGCAAACCCCAAAAAGCGCGCCCCAGUUCGGAUUGCAGGCUGCAACUCGCCUGCAUGAAGCCGGAAUCGCUAGUAAUCGCGGGUCAGCAUACCGCGGUGAAUGUGUUCCUGAGCCUUGUACACACCGCCCGUCAAGCCACGAAAGUGGGGGGGGCCCGAAGUCGCUGAGCUAACCCGCAAGGGAGGCAAGCGCCUAAGGUCAACUCCGCGAUUGGGACUAAGUCGUAACAAGGUAACCA